CCCGAUAACGCUACAGAACAGAACUUACCAAAUGUGUCCACCUCUAUGCUGGCUCUUUUGGGUUCUGUAAAAGCUGGAUGCUCAACCACACAGAGAAGAUGUCGCCUCUUGGAAGGGCACCAGAGAUCUCCCAUCUAAUCACAGCUUCAGGCUUGGCUCCAGAGGCAGAGCAAGUGACAGCAUGGUAGAGGGUCCCAUUCACAACUUCCUUUUCCACAGUUAUGUCAACAUCAGGCCGAGCUUAGAGACAAAUCAGAGGAUGAACAAGAAUGAGAGUAGCCUGCUCUGCAACCUUUAAAUCCAAGCUGCAGUGGGAGUCCCAGUUUCUGAACUGAGAACAUGUGAACAACACUUAAGUAGUUACAGGAGAGCACGGUGAACAAUACCCUGAUAAUUAUUUAAUGCUGUCACUCAUCCUUUCAGAGGAGUUACAGUGGGGCCCAAAAGUUUGAGGCCCAAUUUCUGGGAUGUAGAAUCUGAAUUCAGAAUCUUCUGCAUUGUUAUGCCUUAAAGGAACUAUUACGAUUGCUCAAUGCACUGCAAAUGAAAAAAAAAAAACACCAAAAAAACCCACAUGCAAACAGAAAAAACACAAGCAAAUUAACUAAACAUCUUCAGCAGUUUGACAGCACAUGUGCUGCAAAUACUCAAAACGCAAAAAAGAAAAGAAAAACACAAACACUGUAAAUUUGCACAGACCACACUGGAAAUGUUUAAGGAAACCGCAAAUUUCUUGUGACAAACUUCUGACAUGCUUAUCAGUGACCACUUUGAAAGGUGAGAUUUUUUUUUAAACAUCCUGAUCAUAUGACUCCUUCACUUUUUUGGAUAUUA
This is a long non-coding RNA of Carassius auratus (goldfish), 834 nucleotides long. RefSeq lists it as uncharacterized. The record is from RefSeq and is a predicted model, not a curated record. Lineage: Eukaryota; Metazoa; Chordata; Actinopteri; Cypriniformes; Cyprinidae. The transcript is spliced from 3 exons.